This 203-nucleotide long non-coding RNA is filed under the name Gossypium barbadense (sea-island cotton). RNAcentral's name for it is "long non-coding RNA (GBAR_LNC007086)". Lineage: Eukaryota; Viridiplantae; Streptophyta; Magnoliopsida; Malvales; Malvaceae. The record is from RNAcentral.
AAGCCAGUUAGAGAGGGAAGAAAUGGAGGAGAGUGCCUCAUUGAAAGAGUGGAGAGAGAGAUCGAAAGGAUUCCACAAUUGAGGGAUCCUAGUGAAGGGAAACCCGUACCCAGGGAGAGUUAGAGAAGGCAGAACCCUUCUGAGCCAAAAUAAAAUAAAGUGCCACAACACAACGGUACUCUUGUCAGAUAGAGGUCUGAAGU